CCGCGGUAAUUCCAGCUCCAAUAGCGUAUAUUAAAGUUGUUGCAGUUAAAAAGCUCGUAGUUGAAUUUCGGGAUUGGCGCAUCGGUCGUGCCUUACGGGGUAUGAACUGGUGCAGUCAAUUUCUCACCUUCUGGAGAACCGCGAUGUCCUUAAUUGGGUGCCGCGGGGAACCAGGACCUUUACUUUGAAAAAAUUAGAGUGUUUAAAGCAAGCAAACGCUUGAAUACAUUAGCAUGGAAUAAUGAAAUAGGACGUUCGAUCCUAUUUUGUUGGUUUCUAGGGAUUGAUGUAAUGAUUAAUAGGGAUAGUUGGGGGCAUUAGUAUUCAAUUGUCAGAGGUGAAAUUCUUGGAUUUAUUGAAGACUAACUACUGCGAAAGCAUUUGCCAAGGAUGUUUUCAUUAAUCAGUGAACGAAAGUUGGGGGAUCGAAGACGAUCAGAUACCGUCGUAGUCUCAACCGUAAACUAUGCCGACUAGGGAUCGGGCGACGUUCCAAUUAUGACUCGCCCGGCACCUUACG
RNAcentral lists this ribosomal RNA (520 nucleotides) under uncultured Entrophospora. RNAcentral describes it as "bacterial SSU rRNA". It matches the Rfam family "Eukaryotic small subunit ribosomal RNA", at positions 574 to 1092 of the family's 1831-position model. The record is from RNAcentral. Lineage: Eukaryota; Fungi; Glomeromycota; Glomeromycetes; Entrophosporales; Entrophosporaceae.